RNAcentral lists this ribosomal RNA (1434 nucleotides) under uncultured organism. RNAcentral's name for it is "16S ribosomal RNA". It matches the Rfam family "Bacterial small subunit ribosomal RNA". The record is from RNAcentral.
GAACGCUGGCGGCAUGCCUUACACAUGCAAGUCCAUCGGCAGCGCGGGCUUCGGCCUGGCGGCGAGUGGCGAACGGGUGAGUAAUACAUCGGAACGUGCCCUGUUGUGGGGGAUAACUAGUCGAAAGAUUAGCUAAUACCGCAUACGACCUGAGGGUGAAAGCGGGGGACCGGUAACGGCCUCGCGCAAUAGGAGCGGCCGAUGUCUGAUUAGCUAGUUGGUGGGGUAAAGGCCUACCAAGGCGACGAUCAGUAGCUGGUCUGAGAGGACGAUCAGCCACACUGGGACUGAGACACGGCCCAGACUCCUACGGGAGGCAGCAGUGGGGAAUUUUGGACAAUGGGGGCAACCCUGAUCCAGCAAUGCCGCGUGUGUGAAGAAGGCCUUCGGGUUGUAAAGCACUUUUGUCCGGAAAGAAAUCGCGCUAGCUAAUACCUGGCGUGGAUGACGGUACCGGAAGAAUAAGCACCGGCUAACUACGUGCCAGCAGCCGCGGUAAUACGUAGGGUGCGAGCGUUAAUCGGAAUUACUGGGCGUAAAGCGUGCGCAGGCGGUUUUGUAAGACAGGCGUGAAAUCCCCGGGCUUAACCUGGGAAUGGCGCUUGUGACUGCAAGGCUAGAGUGCGUCAGAGGGGGGCAGAAUUCCCCGUGUAAGCAUGAAAUGCGUAGAGAUGUGGAGGAAUACCGAUGGCCAAAGCAGCCCUCUGGUACGAGACUGACGCUCAUGCACGAAAAGCGGGGGGAGCAAACAGGGCUAGAAUACCCUGGUAGUCCACGCCCUAAACGAUGUCAACUAGUGGUUGGGGAUUCAUUUCCUCAGUAACGUAGCUAACGCGUGAAGUUGACCGCCUGGGGAGUACGGUCGCAAGAUUAAAACUCAAAGGAAUUGACGGGGACCCGCACAAGCGGUGGAUGAUGUGGAUUAAUUCGAUGCAACGCGAAAAACCUUACCUACCCUUGACAUGCCACUAACGAAGCAGAGAUGCAUCAGGUGCCCGAAAGGGGAAGUGGACACAGGUGCUGCAUGGCUGUCGUCAGCUCGUGUCGUGAGAUGUUGGGUUAAGUCCCGCAACGAGCGCAACCCUUGUCUCUAGUUGCUACGCAAGGGCACUCUAGAGAGACUGCCGGUGACAAACCGGAGGAAGGUGGGGAUGACGUCAAGUCCUCAUGGCCCUUAUGGGUAGGGCUUCACACGUCAUACAAUGGUGCGUACAGAGGGUUGCCAACCCGCGAGGGGGAGCUAAUCCCAGAAAACGCAUCGUAGUCCGGAUCGUAGUCUGCAACUCGACUACGUGAAGCUGGAAUCGCUAGUAAUCGCGGAUCAGCAAGCCGCGGUGAAUACGUUCCCGGGUCUUGUACACACCGCCCGUCACACCAUGGGAGUGGGUUUUGCCAGAAGUAGAAAGCCUAACCGCAAGGAGGGCGAUUACCACG